This is a non-coding RNA of Microcebus murinus (gray mouse lemur), 193 nucleotides long. The record is from RefSeq and is a predicted model, not a curated record. Lineage: Eukaryota; Metazoa; Chordata; Mammalia; Primates; Cheirogaleidae.
CCUAUCUUUAUUUGCUAGCUCCUUACCUAACAGAGGGUUCAGUAACCCCCACUUCUCCAGUGCUCUGGCAAAGGAGCAAGAGAUUGCUUUCCAGGGAAAGAACAAAGAAGACAAAAACUGAAAUCAUCAGUGAUAAGUAAGCAACCACAGUGAGAAUCAAAGGAUUGUAUAAAACAAAAGCAAAGAGGGUAUG